AGAUACCCCAUUAUACUUUAUUAAAAUUAUUAUCAGACUAGAGUAAUAACAGGUAUAAGCUCGAAAUUCAAAGAAUUUGGCGGUACUUUAAUCUAACUGGAGGAACCUGUUUUAUAAACGAUAUGCCACGAAAAAUCUUACUUGUUUUAAAUAGUUUGUAUACCGUCAUUAUUAGAUAAUCUUUAAAGGGAGAAUUAUUUAAAUUAAUAUAAUUAAAUAUAUUAGAUCAAGGUGCAGCUUAUAGGCAAGAAAAAAUGGGUUACAAUAAAUUUAUUUAGAUGAAUUUAAAAAUUUUAAAAAUUUAAUGAAGGCGGAUUUAGUUGUAUAUAUAAUUUAAUAAGUUAUAUAGAAAUUGGCUCUAAAGUGUGUACAUAUCG
Molecule: ribosomal RNA, 377 nt
Filed under: Paguristes tortugae
Lineage: Eukaryota; Metazoa; Arthropoda; Malacostraca; Decapoda; Diogenidae
Description: partial small subunit ribosomal RNA
Source: RNAcentral